GGUGGUGGGUAGUGCUGUGUGUUACUCUGUUGGGCAGAGCUCAGUAAAACUUCAAUCAGCUUGUCUGCUGAGGGGUGGGGCUGGAUUCCCUCCCUGUUGGUUGUUUGGCUUGAGGCAACCCAACACUGAAGCCUACCCAGGCUCUUUGGUGGGGCUAAUGGCAGACUCUGGGAGGGCUCACGCCAAGGAGUACUUCCCAGAACUUCUCCUGCCAGUGUCAUUGUCCUCACGCUAAGCCACAGCCACCCCCCGCCUCUGCAGGAGACCCUCCAACACUAGCAGCUUGGGGGAAACUCUUGCGAUUGUUGUGCUGGUGCUCAGGAGAGAAUAUACAAACAGCUCAUACAACUCAACAACAAAAAAAGAAACAAUGCAAUCCAAAAAUGGACAGAAGACCUAAAUAGACAUUUCUCCAAAGAAGACAUAGAGAUGGCCAACAGAUAAAGGCUCCCUCACGCCCCCCUCCUGUUUCCUGCUCAGGAUCCCACCCCCAAAGGUAAUGACUAUUAUGGUUUCUAUCACCAUCAUUUUGGCUGGAUUGAGGACUCAUAAACUGGAUCAUAAAUGAAAUCAUUUGUCUCUGAUUUUUUAUAUUCAACAUUAUGUCAGUGAGAGUCAUCCAUAUUAUUGUGUGUAUACGUAGUUUGGGUUGUCUUUUUCUAUUGCUGUGUGUAACUGCAUUGUAUGAAUACAACACAAUUCAUUUCAUUCUAGUUUUAAUGGCUAAUUGGGUUGUUUCCUAUUUUGGACAAUUAUGAAUAAAACUGCUGUGGUCCUUCUUGAACACGCCUUUUGGUGAACACAAGCAUUCAUUUGAUAUAUACCUAGGGGUAGGGCUGCUAGGUCAUAAAGUAAGCAUGUGUUUAGCCUUGCUAAAUGUCAAAAAACAGUUUUGUAAAGUGGUUGUACCAACUGAACACUCCCAUUGAUAGUAUAAGAGAGUUCUUGUUGUUUACAUCCUCACCACACUGGGUAUCAUCAGCUUUUUAAUGUUAGCCUAUAUGAUGGGGGUGUGGCAGUAUCACAUUGUGGUUUCAAUUUCCACUUUUUAUAACCACUGAUUAUAUUGUAUCAGUGAUAUGUAACAUAUUUUAGGGGGGCAUUUGGAUAUCCUAGUUUGUGAAAUGCUAUUCAAGUAUUUUACGCAUUUUUAGAGUCUAACUUUUUAUAAUUGAUUUGUAGAAGUUUUAAAAAAUACAUUCUGGAUAUGGGUCCUACUUUGGAUUUAUAUAUUACAAAUAUCUUCUCUUGAGAAUUGUCAUUUCACUCUAUUAAUAGUGUCUUUUAAAAAUAAAGUCUACUUUAUAAAUAUUUUCUUUUAUGAUUGGGACAUUUGGUAUCCUUUUUAAAAAAAUUCUUGCCUAUCCCAAUAUCAUAAAAAUAUUUCCCUCUGUUUACUUCUACAAGUUUAAUUGUUUUAGGUCAUGAUUUAUGCUCCAUAACAAAAAGUUGCUCUCUGUGGUGAAAGGUAGAAGUCAAGGCUCGCUUUUUGGACAUAGAUACAUGAUUUACCUGACACAAAUAAUUGAAAAGAUCAUUCAUUCCUCACUAAGUUCAUUAUAGUGAGCCAUUAGCUCAAAAUAUUUUUUAGUUAUUUUCACAUAUCUGUUCUUUAUCACAAAUAGAUUUUGAAUUUUAUAAAGUACUUUUUCUGUAUCUAUUGGAAUGAUCAUAUGGUUUUCUUUUUAUUCAAUUAUAGUGAAUUACAUUUAUUGAUUUUCAGAUACUG
Molecule: long non-coding RNA, 1729 nt
Organism: Orcinus orca (killer whale)
Lineage: Eukaryota; Metazoa; Chordata; Mammalia; Artiodactyla; Delphinidae
Exons: 3
Source: RefSeq, a predicted model, not a curated record